This 290-nucleotide small RNA is filed under the name Peribacillus loiseleuriae. RNAcentral's name for it is "Bacillus sp. FJAT-27997 5' ureB small RNA". It matches the Rfam family "5' ureB small RNA". Lineage: Bacteria; Bacillati; Bacillota; Bacilli; Caryophanales; Bacillaceae. The record is from Rfam by way of RNAcentral.
CUGUUCUAACUUGGGCCGGAUUAAUAAAGUGAACAUGGGUAUCGAUUGCACCUGCCGUAACAAUCAACCCUUCCCCAGCAAUGAUUUCUGUCGAUGCACCAAUGACAAUAUCCACAUUAUCCAUAAUUAAAGGAUUUCCAGCUUUCCCAAUCCCAGCGAUUUUCCCGUCACGGAUUGCAAUAUCUGCUUUAACAAUCCCUGUGUAAUCUAAAAUCACCGCAUUGGUAAUGACUACAUCCGGUAUUCCAUCCCCGCGAGUCACAAGCGGAUGCUGCCCCAUACCAUCACGA